GUGUCAGCCGCCGCGGUAAUACGGAGGGUGCGAGCGUUGUUCGGAAUCACUGGGCGUAAAGCGCGUGUAGGCGGCCUGCUAAGUCUGAUGUGAAAGCCCGAGGCUCACCCUCGGAAGUGCAUUGGAAACUGGCAGACUGGAGUCCCGGAGAGGAGGGUGGAAUUCCUGGUGUAGCGGUGAAAUGCGUAGAUAUCAGGAGGAACACCGGUGGCGAAGGCGGCCCUCUGGACGGUGACUGACGCUGAGACGCGAAAGCGUGGGGAGCAAACAGGAUUAGAAACCCUAGUAGUCC
Molecule: ribosomal RNA, 292 nt
Filed under: uncultured bacterium
Lineage: Bacteria
Description: partial 16S ribosomal RNA
Rfam family: Bacterial small subunit ribosomal RNA
Source: RNAcentral